This 528-nucleotide long non-coding RNA is filed under the name Androctonus crassicauda. The record is from RNAcentral. Lineage: Eukaryota; Metazoa; Arthropoda; Arachnida; Scorpiones; Buthidae.
AAAUAUUUUGUGUGAUUUGGUGGAUUAAUUUAUUCUAACAUAAUCUUUAAAAUCACUUAAUUUAAAAUUUAAUUAUUAUUAAUCCAGAGUGCCGACGUGAUAAUGGUAUAACAAUUGACACAGAAACUAUAUUAUGUACCUGAAAUUCCCGAACAAUGCCGGAUAGCCUGGCAGUUAUCUAAAUAAAUAAAAUGCAAUGUUUGUUUAUUGUCUAUUUGUUCCAUAUAAACUUCCAAACCGACCUAUAGAGAUCAAACUUUAUACAGCGACUUCUCUUGACUUCACGAAUAACAUAAGCUAUCUUGGAUCAAGAUCGGUCCAGAGGAUGAGAGACAUUUUGGGUUGGAACGAAAACAUGUAUCCUUUAGAGUUUUGUUCGAAUCUAUUCGAUAACAUCAUAUAUGCAACAACAUGACUCUAUCGGAACAUAAACACUGGUUAUAUUUUGUGAUAUCAAAUUUGGUUCACUAAAACAACUUGAAAAAUUAGGUUAAAGUCUAAUACCUUGCACUAUGGAGUUCUAUGUCU